Molecule: ribosomal RNA, 497 nt
Filed under: uncultured bacterium
Lineage: Bacteria
Description: partial 16S ribosomal RNA
Rfam family: Bacterial small subunit ribosomal RNA
Source: RNAcentral
GAUGAACGCUGGCGGCGUGCCUAAUACAUGCAAGUCGAGCGAACAGACGAGGAGCUUGCUCCUCUGACGUUAGCGGCGGACGGGUGAGUAACACGUGGAUAACCUACCUAUAAGACUGGGAUAACUUCGGGAAACCGGAGCUAAUACCGGAUAACAUUUUGAACCGCAUGGUUCAACAGUGAAAGACGGUCUUGCUGUCACUUAUAGAUGGAUCCGCGCCGCAUUAGCUAGUUGGUAAGGUAACGGCUUACCAAGGCAACGAUGCGUAGCCGACCUGAGAGGGUGAUCGGCCACACUGGAACUGAGACACGGUCCAGACUCCUACGGGAGGCAGCAGUAGGGAAUCUUCCGCAAUGGGCGAAAUCCUGACGGAGCAACGCCGCGUGAGUGAAGAAGGUCUUCGGAUCGUAAAACUCUGUUAUUAGGGAAGAACAAAUGUGUAAGUAACUAUGCACGUCUUGACGGUACCUAAUCAGAAAGCCACGGCUAACUACGUG